UGCGCGGCGAAAAACCUUUACACACAGUGUUUUUUGUUAUUACAAGAACUUUUGCUUUGGUCUGGACUAGAAAUAGUUUGGGCCAGAGGUUUACUGAACUAAACUUCAAUAUUUAUAUUGAAUUGUUAUUUAUUUAAUUGUCAAUUUGUUGAUUAAAUUCAAAAAAUCUUCAAAACUUUCAACAACGGAUCUCUUGGUUCUCGCAUCGAUGAAGAACGCAGCGAAAUGCGAUAAGUAAUAUGAAUUGCAGAUUUUCGUGAAUCAUCGAAUCUUUGAACGCACAUUGCGCCCUCUGGUAUUCCAGAGGGCAUGCCUGUUUGAGCGUCAUUUCUCUCUCAAACCUUCGGGUUUGGUAUUGAGUGAUACUCUUAGUCGAACUAGGCGUUUGCUUGAAAUGUAUUGGCAUGAGUGGUACUGGAUAGUGCUAUAUGACUUUCAAUGUAUUAGGUUUAUCCAACUCGUUGAAUAGUUUAAUGGUAUAUUUCUCGGUAUUCUAGGCUCGGCCUUACAAUAUAACAAACAAGUUUGACCUCAAAUCAGGUAGGAUUACCCGCUGAACUUAAGCAUAUCAA
RNAcentral lists this ribosomal RNA (572 nucleotides) under Debaryomyces sp. S423Y10. RNAcentral's name for it is "eukaryotic LSU rRNA". The stretch from base 174 to 327 matches the Rfam family "5.8S ribosomal RNA". The record is from RNAcentral. Lineage: Eukaryota; Fungi; Ascomycota; Pichiomycetes; Serinales; Debaryomycetaceae.